CACCAAUAGUACAACAACAGGUAGUUCAGACACAAAGGCAAGCACAGAUGUUGUUGAUCCCCACUUUGAAAUAUCGACAUUGUACCGACAAAAUUUGAAUAAACUGGGCGUAUUUAACUUGACUCUUGAGUAGGUUCUGUCAGUUUUUCAUGGAUAUUGAACUCAAUGUAAACUAAGACUAAGUAUUUGUAUUAUCUAAGAUUAUUU
This is a non-coding RNA of Paramuricea clavata, 207 nucleotides long. The record is from the annotation of a GenBank genome assembly. Lineage: Eukaryota; Metazoa; Cnidaria; Anthozoa; Malacalcyonacea; Plexauridae.